UAAAUUUGUGUUUGUGCCAGAGUUUCAGCAGGUUUCACCAAGUCAAAUUUAAGACUUUUAAAGACCAUUAUGAAUGGAAUUUAAGACCUUUAUCCUAACAUCAA
Molecule: long non-coding RNA, 104 nt
Organism: Etheostoma spectabile (orangethroat darter)
Lineage: Eukaryota; Metazoa; Chordata; Actinopteri; Perciformes; Percidae
Exons: 3
Source: RefSeq, a predicted model, not a curated record